AUAGUGAAUCCAUUCCAUUCCGAAGGCCUUUGAAGACUUCCAGUUAUUUGUAUAACUCAGUCAAUCUAGUCAGUUCCCAAUCAUUCAGCAUUCUUCUUCUAAGUAUCAGAUCCCAACCUUGAGGAGUCCACAUUGGCUUACCAUACAUAUCAGGGAAGAGUUCCAUCAAACUUCCAGAUCCCAACCAGUUAUCCUUCCAGAAGGAGGUUUUGGUGCCAUUUUUCACUUUGAUAUAGGGUUGGCUCUUCGUUG
Molecule: long non-coding RNA, 252 nt
Filed under: Nicotiana benthamiana
Lineage: Eukaryota; Viridiplantae; Streptophyta; Magnoliopsida; Solanales; Solanaceae
Description: long non-coding RNA (NBEN_LNC042063)
Source: RNAcentral